CCGAGAUGAGUUCUCCCUGACCCUUUAAGGGUCCUGAAGGAACGUUGAAGACGACGACGUUGAUAGGCCGGGUGUGUAAGCGCAGCGAUGCGUUGAGCUAACCGGUACUAAUGAACCGUGAGGCUUAACCUU
This 132-nucleotide ribosomal RNA is filed under the name Escherichia coli. Its description in RNAcentral is "partial 23S ribosomal RNA". It matches the Rfam family "Bacterial large subunit ribosomal RNA", at positions 2799 to 2925 of the family's 2925-position model. Lineage: Bacteria; Pseudomonadati; Pseudomonadota; Gammaproteobacteria; Enterobacterales; Enterobacteriaceae. The record is from RNAcentral. RNAcentral also lists the same sequence under 2 other names.